Molecule: ribosomal RNA, 429 nt
Filed under: Bacteroidota bacterium
Lineage: Bacteria; Pseudomonadati; Bacteroidota
Description: Bacteroidetes bacterium partial 16S ribosomal RNA
Rfam family: Bacterial small subunit ribosomal RNA
Source: RNAcentral
UAGGGAAUCUUCGGCAAUGGGGGGAACCCUGACCGAGCAACGCCGCGUGAGUGAAGAAGGUUUUCGGAUCGUAAAGCUCUGUUGUUAAGGAAGAACGAGUGUGAGAAUGGAAAGUUCAUACUGUGACGGUACUUAACCAGAAAGGGACGGCUAACUACGUGCCAGCAGCCGCGGUAAUACUUAGGUCCCGAGCGUUGUCCGGAUUUAUUGGGCGUAAAGCGAGCGCAGGCGGUUAGAUAAGUCUGAAGUUAAAGGCAGUGGCUCAACCAUUGUAGGCUUUGGAAACUGUUUAACUUGAGUGCAGAAGGGGAGGGUGGAAUUCCAUGUGUAGCGGUGAAAUGCGUAGAUAUAUGGAGGAACGCCGGUGGCGAAAGCGGCUCUCUGGAAUGUAACUGACGCUGAGGCUCGAAAGCGUGGGGAGCGAACAGA